This 1478-nucleotide long non-coding RNA is filed under the name Olea europaea subsp. europaea. The record is from RNAcentral. Lineage: Eukaryota; Viridiplantae; Streptophyta; Magnoliopsida; Lamiales; Oleaceae.
UGAAAAUCUUAGCCGGUAAGAUCAAGCCCAAUCUAGGACGCUGGACUGAUCCAGUUCCCGACUGGACAGAUAUCUUGGCCUAUUUCAGAGGCUCUGAGUUACAAAACUAUUUCACAAAAAUUCUCGAGAACGAGUUGAAGGCAGUCAUCAAGCCGCAGUAUGUUGACCUCAUACCGAAAGCAUUCAAAGGAACUGUCCAAGAAGCACUAGAUAAGAAGAACGAAACGGGACGCCUCGAAGAGUUUUGCAAAUUGCUCGAACUGACUCCAGCCGUCAGGUCAAGAAACAUCGACGAACUAUCCGGAGGAGAAUUGCAGCGAUUUGCCAUUGCACUACUGUGUAUCCAGAAAGCUGAUGUGUACAUGUUCGAUGAGCCCUCUUCAUAUCUUGAUGUCAAGCAGCGUCUCAAGGCAGCCGAAGCUAUCAGAUCACUUGUUACACCCAAGAAUUAUGUGAUUGUUGUGGAGCACGAUCUGUCAGUACUCGACUAUUUGUCAGAUUUCACCUGUUGCCUGUAUGGAAAACCAUCAGUUUACGGUGUUGUCACAAUGCCUUUCUCAGUUCGUGAAGGUAUCAACAUAUUCCUGGAUGGAUUUGUGCCAACAGAGAACCUGCGAUUUAGGGAUACAGAGCUAGUGUUUAAGGUAGCUGAGUCCGCACAAGAAGAGAUCAAACGAAUGUGUCACUACGAGUAUCCUAAAAUGUCAAAGGCCUUAGGUUCCUUCAGUUUGAACAUUGAUCCGGGCACGUUCACCGAUUCUGAAAUCAUCGUAAUGUUAGGCGAGAACGGUACGGGCAAGACUACAUUCAUCAAGAUACUGGCUGGCGGUCUCAAGCCAGAUGCAGGUGACUCUGAUUUGCCCUCAUUGAACAUUAGUUACAAGCCUCAGAAAAUUAGUCCCAAAUCGCAGAAAACUGUCAAAGAAUUGCUGAUGGAGAAGAUAUUUGAAAUGUAUAGGCAUCCUCAGUUCCAAACCGAUGUGCUGAAGCCCUUGGAGAUAGAGAGAAUUCAAGAUCAGUUGGUCACCGAAUUGUCCGGAGGAGAGUUGCAACGAGUGGCACUUGUAUUGUGUCUUGGUAAACCAGCAGAUGUCUACCUGAUCGACGAGCCCUCAGCCUACCUUGAUUCAGAGCAACGUUUGAUUGCCGCAAAAGUUAUCAAGCGAUUCUUGUUGCACUCCAAGAAGACCGGCUUUAUUGUGGAGCACGAUUUCAUUAUGGCCACCUACUUGGCCGAUAGGGUUAUUGUAUUCGAGGGCGAGCCUGGUAUUAAUGCCAAAGCAAAAUCACCCCAGUCACUCCUUACUGGUAUGAACACUUUCUUGGACAUGCUCAACAUCACAUUCAGAAGGGAUCCCAAUAAUUACAGGCCUAGAAUCAACAAACUAAACUCCUUGAAGGAUGUUGACCAGAAACGAUCGGGCAACUUCUUCUUCCUCGAAGAGAACUAGGCCAAUCUCGACAAUGCGUCAUUCAAU